This 91-nucleotide ribosomal RNA is filed under the name Fukomys damarensis (Damara mole-rat). The record is from RNAcentral. Lineage: Eukaryota; Metazoa; Chordata; Mammalia; Rodentia; Bathyergidae.
GUUUCUGACCAAAGUUAAAGACUACUAAGCAGGGUCAGGCCUGGAUAGUACUUGGAUUGGAGACCACCUGGGAAUACCGGUGCUGUAGGCU